GACGAACGCUGGCGGCGUGCUUAACACAUGCAAGUCGAACGGAAAGGCCCUGCUUUUGUGGGGUGCUCGAGUGGCGAACGGGUGAGUAACACGUGAGUAACCUGCCCUUGACUUUGGGAUAACUUCAGGAAACUGGGGCUAAUACCGGAUAGGAGCUCCUGCUGCAUGGUGGGGGUUGGAAAGUUUCGGCGGUUGGGGGUGGACUCGCGGCUUAUCAGCUUGUUGGUGGGGUAGUGGCUUACCAAGGCUUUGACGGGUAGCCGGCCUGAGAGGGUGACCGGCCACAUUGGGACUGAGAUACGGCCCAGACUCCUACGGGAGGCAGCAGUGGGGAAUAUUGCACAAUGGGCGGAAGCCUGAUGCAGCAACGCCGCGUGCGGGAUGACGGCCUUCGGGUUGUAAACCGCUUUCGCCUGUGACGAAGCGUGAGUGACGGUAAUGGGUAGAGAAGCACCGGCUAACUACGUG
RNAcentral lists this ribosomal RNA (468 nucleotides) under uncultured bacterium. RNAcentral's name for it is "partial 16S ribosomal RNA". It matches the Rfam family "Bacterial small subunit ribosomal RNA", at positions 28 to 507 of the family's 1533-position model. The record is from RNAcentral.